GUGAGCCGCAGGACAGGGAGCUUCAUUUAUAUAUGAAGAAGUCACACUGCCAGUCACUGAAAUACAGUUGAAAGAUAGCUAAUUCCUUGCUGUUUAUGUGUUUUUACAGUGUUUCAGCAAUAAAACAAUAUAUGUGCCACCAGAAGUCUCCGCCUCUCCUGUUUGUGCAACAUCAGCAGAGAUUGUGUCAACUAGACCAUCCCCUGUGAAGGCCUCAUCGACACGACAGUCACUGGCACAGAUCCUCAACAAACCGUCCCAUACCGGCGUGAUGAAUACGAUCCUCAACUAGAUGGAACUGGAAUAAAUACUUUGACUGUCACGAUCCCAAUCGGACUUAUGAAAGCUGCCUGAAUCAUAAUCAGCGACUGAGCCUGGUUUCUCCCAAUUUCUUUGUUGUAUGUCAGAGUUCUUCAGCUCAAGUCCUGAAGUGCCGAGCGCAGGUUGGAAGUGUGUCACUUCAAAGUUUGUGAAAAUAAAAAGUUUUUACCUGUUAA
Ctenopharyngodon idella (grass carp) is the source of this 497-nucleotide long non-coding RNA. RefSeq lists it as uncharacterized. The record is from RefSeq and is a predicted model, not a curated record. The transcript has 2 exons. Lineage: Eukaryota; Metazoa; Chordata; Actinopteri; Cypriniformes; Xenocyprididae.